UACCUUAAGACAAAAAUAAUUUAAGGCAAGCCCUGCCCAGUGAAAUCUUCAACGGCCGCGGUAUCCUAACCGUGCAAAGGUAGCAUAAUAACUUGCCUAUUAAUUAUAGGAUAGAAUGAAAGGGUAAACGAAAUAGGAGCUGUCUCUAUUAGCCCAAUGAAAAUUAUUUUUUAACUGAAGAAAGUUAAAUUCAACUGAAGGACAAGAAGACCCUAUAGAGCUUAAUUUAACCUACUAAAUAAGUAAAAAUUAAAUUCAGUUGGGGCGACCGAUGCUCUACAAAUCAUCACCCACAAAAAGAAAUAUACAUCUCAAAAAAGACCCUGACCCAGAUCAAAAAAACAAGCUACCUUAGGGAUAACAGGCUAAUCUCAUUAAUGAGUCCCCAUCUAUAAUGUUGGUUGGCACCUCGAUGUUGGCUUAGGGAAUCAAAAGGGCGCAGAAGCUUUUUAAGACGGUUUGUUCAACCAUUAAACCCCUA
This 481-nucleotide ribosomal RNA is filed under the name Pontoscolex corethrurus complex sp. L1. RNAcentral describes it as "partial small subunit ribosomal RNA". It matches the Rfam family "Bacterial large subunit ribosomal RNA", at positions 1827 to 2598 of the family's 2925-position model. Lineage: Eukaryota; Metazoa; Annelida; Clitellata; Crassiclitellata; Glossoscolecidae. The record is from RNAcentral.